RNAcentral lists this ribosomal RNA (497 nucleotides) under uncultured bacterium. RNAcentral describes it as "partial 16S ribosomal RNA". It matches the Rfam family "Bacterial small subunit ribosomal RNA", at positions 28 to 507 of the family's 1533-position model. The record is from RNAcentral.
GAUGAACGCUGGCGGCGUGCCUAAUACAUGCAAGUCGAGCGAACGGACGAGAAGCUUGCUUCUCUGAUGUUAGCGGCGGACGGGUGAGUAACACGUGGAUAACCUACCUAUAAGACUGGGAUAACUUCGGGAAACCGGAGCUAAUACCGGAUAAUAUUUUGAACCGCAUGGUUCAAAAGUAAAAGACGGUCUUGCUGUCACUUAUAGAUGGAUCCGCGCUGCAUUAGCUAGUUGGUAAGGUAACGGCUUACCAAGGCAACGAUGCAUAGCCGACCUGAGAGGGUCAUCGGCCACACUGGAACUGAGACACGGUCCAGACUCCUACGGGAGGCAGCAGUAGGGAAUCUUCCGCGAUGGGCGAAAGCCUGACGGUGCAACGCCGCGUGAGUGAUGAAGGUCUUCGGAUCGUAAAACUCUGUUAUUAGGGAAGAACAUAUGUGUAAGUAACUGUGCACAUCUUGACGGUACCUAAUCAGAAAGCCACGGCUAACUACGUG